RNAcentral lists this ribosomal RNA (2018 nucleotides) under Aegilops tauschii. Its description in RNAcentral is "bacterial LSU rRNA". It matches the Rfam family "Bacterial large subunit ribosomal RNA", at positions 1011 to 2913 of the family's 2925-position model. The record is from RNAcentral. Lineage: Eukaryota; Viridiplantae; Streptophyta; Magnoliopsida; Poales; Poaceae.
UCGAGAGGGAAACAGCCCAGAUCGCCGGUUAAGGCCCCUAAGGGUGUACUAAGUGGAAAAGGAUGUGGGAUCGCGAAGACAGCCAGGAGGUUGGCUUAGAAGCAGCCAUCCUUGAAAGAGUGCGUAAUAGCUCACUGGUCGAGUGGUUCUGCGCCGACAAUGUAGUGGGGCUCAAGUACACCGCCGAAGCCGCGGCAAACAUUUUUUGUUUGGGUAGGGGAGCGUCGUGCAUGGGUUGAAGCGUUACCGUAAGGAGGCGUGGACUGUGUGCGAGUGAGAAUGCAGGCAUGAGUAACGAAUUGAUAGGUGAGAAUCCUAUCCGCCGGAUGACUAAGGGUUCCUGGGUCAAGUUCGUCUUCCCAGGGUGAGUCGGGACCUAAGGCGAGGCCGACAGGCGUAGUCGAUGGAUAACCAGUUGAUAUUCUGGUACCCGUACAUGCGCGCCCAUGAUAAAGCACUGAUACUAACCACCGCGGAUGCACUGUUGACACUCUUUGAGUGUUGGUGGUGUUGAUGUCGUGGGGCCUGAUGUGUGGUUCAAGUGAUGGGGUGACGCAGUGAGGUAGCCACGCCACUUAUUGGAUUGGUGGUGUAAGCGUGUAGGCCGUGUGGUAGGUAAAUCCGCUACACAUUGUGGUUGAGACGUGAUGCGUAGACCCAUUGGGGUUGAUGGUGGUGAUCCUGUACUGUCGAGAAAAGCCUCUAGCGAUGUGUGUGUAUGGCCCGUACCCUAAACCGACACAGGUAGUCAGGUUGAAAAUACUAAGGCGUUCGGGUGAACUGUGGUUAAGGAAUUCGGCAAAAUGCCCCCGUAACUUCGGGAGAAGGGGGGCCUCACGACGUGAGCACUCUUUGCGGUGUUAAGCGUUGUGGGGUCGCAGAGAAUAGAGGGAAGCGACUGUUUAUCAAAAACACAGGUCCAUGCGAAGACGUUAAGUUGAUGUAUAUGGACUGACGCCUGCCCGGUGCUGGAAGGUUAAGAGGACCGGUUAGUAGUCUUUGACUGCGAAGCUGAGAAUUUAAGCCCCAGUAAACGGCGGUGGUAACUAUAACCAUCCUAAGGUAGCGAAAUUCCUUGUCGGGUAAGUUCCGACCUGCACGAAUGGCGUAACGACUUCUCUGCUGUCUCAACCACAGGCCCGGUGAAAUUGCACUACGAGUAAAGAUGCUCGUUACGCGCGGCAGGACGAAAAGACCCCGGGACCUUCACUAUAGCUUGGUAUUGGUGUUUGGUUCGGUUUGUGUAGGAUAGGUGGGAGACUUGGAAGCUAUCACGCUAGUGGUGGUGGAGUCGUUGUUGAAAUACCACUCUGAUCGGAUUGAGCAUCUAACCUUGGCCCAUGAUCUGGGUUGGGGACAGUGCCUGGUGGGUAGUUUAACUGGGGCGGUUGCCUCCCAAAAUGUAACGGAGGCGCCCAAAGGUUCCCUCAGCCUGGUUGGCAAUCAGGUGGUGAGUGUAAGUGCACAAGGGAGCUUGACUGUGAGACAGACAUGUCGAGCAGGGACGAAAGUCGGGACUAGUGAUCCGGCACCUACUUGUGGAUGUGGUGUCGCUCAACGGAUAAAAGGUACCCCGGGGAUAACAGGCUGAUCUUCCCCAAGAGUCCAUAUCGACGGGAUGGUUUGGCACCUCGAUGUCGGCUCGUCGCAUCCUGGGGCUGGAGUAGGUCCCAAGGGUUGGGCUGUUCGCCCAUUAAUGCGGUACGUGAGCUGGGUUCAGAACGUCGUGAGACAGUUCGGUCCCUAUCCGUCGUGGGCGUAGGAAAUUUGAGAGGAGCUGUCCUUAGUACGAGAGGACCGGGAUGGACAUACCUCUGGUGUACCAGUUGUCGUGCCAACGGCAUAGCUGGGUAGCUAUGUAUGGACGGGAUAAGUGCUGAAAGCAUCUAAGCAUGAAGCCCCCCUCAAGAUGAGAUUUCCCAACUUCGGUUAUAAGAUCCCUCAAAGAUGAUGAGGUUAAUAGGUUCGAGGUGGAAGCGUGGUGACACGUGGAGCUGACGAAUACUAAUCGAUCGAAG